Molecule: ribosomal RNA, 468 nt
Filed under: uncultured bacterium
Lineage: Bacteria
Description: partial 16S ribosomal RNA
Rfam family: Bacterial small subunit ribosomal RNA
Source: RNAcentral
GACGAACGCUGGCGGCGUGCUUAACACAUGCAAGUCGAACGGAAAGGCCCUGCUUUUGUGGGGUGCUCGAGUGGCGAACGGGUGAGUAACACGUGAGUAACCUGCCCUUGACUUUGGGAUAACUUCAGGAAACUGGGGCUAAUACCGGAUAGGAGCUCCUGCUGCAUGGUGGGGGUUGGAAAGUUUCGGCGGUUGGGGAUGGACUCGCGGCUUAUCAGCUUGUUGGUGGGGUAGUGGCUUACCAAGGCUUUGACGGGUAGCCGGCCUGAGAGGGUGACCGGCCACAUUGGGGCUGAGGUACGGGCCAGACUCCUACGGGGGGCAGCAGGGGGGAAUAAUGCACAAUGGGGGGAAGCCUUAUGCAGCAACGCCGGGUGCGGGAUGACGGCCUUCGGGUUGUAAACCGCUUUCGCCUGUGACGAAGCGUGAGUGACGGUAAUGGGUAAAGAAGCACCGGCUAACUACGUG